RNAcentral lists this ribosomal RNA (316 nucleotides) under uncultured bacterium. Its description in RNAcentral is "bacterial SSU rRNA". It matches the Rfam family "Bacterial small subunit ribosomal RNA", at positions 508 to 823 of the family's 1533-position model. The record is from RNAcentral.
UCAGCAGCCGCGGUAAUACGGAGGAUCCAAGCGUUAUCCGGAUUUAUUGGGUUUAAAGGGUGCGUAGGCGGAUUAUUAAGUCAGUGGUGAAAGCCUGCAGCUUAACUGCAGAACUGCCAUUGAUACUGAUGAUCUUGAGUACAGUUGAGGUGGGCGGAAUAUGUCAUGUAGCGGUGAAAUGCUUAGAUAUGACAUAGAACACCAAUUGCGAAGGCAGCUCGCUAAACUGUAACUGACGCUGAGGCACGAAAGCGUGGGGAUCAAACAGGAUUAGAUACCCUGGUAGUCCACGCCCUAAACGAUGAUAACUCGAUGU